GGGAAACUUACCAGGUCCAGGCACAGUGAGGGUUGACAGACUGAUAGCUCUUUCGGGAUUCUAUGGGUGGUGGCGCAUGGCCGUUCUCAGUUGGUGGAGUGAUUUGUCUGGUUAAUUCCGUUAACGAACGAGACCUUGACCUGCUAAAUAGGCUCCAGAACCUCUGGUUCAAGGACGCCUUCUUAGAGGGACGUUGCGUGUCCAACGCGAGGAAGUGUGAUGCAAUAG
This 228-nucleotide ribosomal RNA is filed under the name uncultured eukaryote. Its description in RNAcentral is "partial 18S ribosomal RNA". It matches the Rfam family "Eukaryotic small subunit ribosomal RNA", at positions 1208 to 1456 of the family's 1831-position model. The record is from RNAcentral.